This is an unclassified non-coding RNA of 515 nucleotides. The stretch from base 1 to 80 matches the Rfam family "5.8S ribosomal RNA", at positions 76 to 154 of the family's 154-position model.
AGGAUUCAGUGAGUCAUCGAAAUUUUGAACGCAUAUUGCACUUCCGGGUUAGUCCUGGAAGUAUGCCUGUAUCAGUGUCCGUACAUUAAACUUGACUUUCUUCCUUCCGUGUAGUCGGUGGAGGAGAUGUCAGAUGUGAAGUGUCUUGCGAUUGGUCUUCGGACCGGCUGCGAGUCCUUUUAAAUGUACUAAACUGAACUUCUCUUUGCUCGAAAAGUGGUGGCGUUGCUGGUUGUGAAGGCUGCUAUUGUGGCAAAUUGGCGACUGGUUUGUCUGCUGCGGCNUUAAUGGAAGAGUGUUCGAUUCGUGGUAUGGUUGGCUUCGGCUGAACAAUGCAACUUAUUGGACGUUUUUCCUGCUGUGGCGUGAUGGACUGGUGAACCAUAGCUCGGUGGCUUGGCUUUUGAAUUGGCUUUGCUGUUGCGAAGUAGGGUGGCAGCUUCGGUUGUCGAGGGUCGAUCCAUUUGGGAACUUAAUGUGUACUUCGGUAUGCAUCUCAAUUGGACCUGAUAUCC